RNAcentral lists this ribosomal RNA (253 nucleotides) under uncultured bacterium. RNAcentral's name for it is "partial 16S ribosomal RNA". It matches the Rfam family "Bacterial small subunit ribosomal RNA", at positions 524 to 776 of the family's 1533-position model. The record is from RNAcentral.
UACGGAGGGUGCGAGCGUUGUCCGGAAUCACUGGGCGUAAAGGGCGCGUAGGCGGGAUGGCAAGUCAGUCGUGAAAUCUCUCGGCUCAACCGAGAAACGUCGGCUGAUACUGCCGUUCUUGAGGGAUGCAGAGGAGACUGGAAUUCCCGGUGUAGCGGUGAAAUGUGUAGAGAUCGGGAGGAACACCGGUGGCGAAGGCGGGUCUCUGGGCAUUUCCUGACGCUGAGGCGCGAAAGCGUGGGGAGCAAACGGG